GAUAUAUUGAUCUGUAUGAGGACACUAUGAAGAAGUUAAAUAGUGUAGCUGUUGAUGUUAUAUAUUGUACAAACUCAGUUCCACAAAUUGGUGAGUUUACUUAACUGUGUAAAUCGAUUGCAUUUGUAUUUUAUUUAUGUUUACCUGUAUAACUUGACUAUGACAAAUAUUUCAUUGUCACUUUGGAAAUAUUACACUGGGAUUAUCUUCCCUGAUUAUGAACAUUCAAGCUAGAUUCACAUGAAGUUAAAUAUUUAUAUUUGUAUUGAUGAUAAAUGAUUAUUCAUUUAUAUUAUAUUAUAAAGACAUUAUAUACGAAGCUCAAAUUAUCUGUAAUGAUAAUUUGCAUGAAGUUAUUGUUUAUUGUUUGUAAAUUUACAUUUUGAUAUUUUCAAACCGUAUACCGUUUGUAUAGAAUUUAUGAUGUUUGUAUGUAUUCAGUCGGAUCGAUUGAAGAGAAACGGUUAAGAGUUCAAAGGUUAAAAUAUAGGAUGUUUUAACUAUAUAAGAACAUGUGAACUGAAAUGAUAAUGAGAGAUGUAAUAGACUAGUAUUUUAAGCUAUUGAAUUGUAUCGUUUAUUUUUUAUUAUCUUUACCAUUGUUUAAUUGUUAUUCCAGGGUUAGUGUAUGUAAUUGUAAGAUGAAUGCAUGUGAUGUACAAUUGAUGAAUAAAGAACCCUAUGACUCAGAUGACUUAGUUAUAUUUGAUGAAGCAGAAAAUUAGACUUUUACAAUGGCGCCCACGUUAAUGGUUUAUUCCAAGGAUGGAUCUUCACAGUGGAAGCUGGAAUGACUUAAAUUUUGUAUUGAAUAUUACUUGCUGAUAUUUUAUGAAUUGAUUUAUAAAUAUAAAUUGACUUUAGAUAUUCAGUUUGUGAAUAUUGAAUAUGGCCUGAAAGUAUGUUAGUACAUUUGUAUAUCUG
RNAcentral lists this long non-coding RNA (924 nucleotides) under Mytilus galloprovincialis (Mediterranean mussel). Lineage: Eukaryota; Metazoa; Mollusca; Bivalvia; Mytilida; Mytilidae. The record is from RNAcentral.